GAUGAACGCUGGCGGCGUGCCUAAUACAUGCAAGUCGAGCGAACAGACGAGGAGCUUGCUCCUCUGACGUUAGCGGCGGACGGGUGAGUAACACGUGGAUAACCUACCUAUAAGACUGGGAUAACUUCGGGAAACCGGAGCUAAUACCGGAUAAUAUAUUGAACCGCAUGGUUCAAUAGUGAAAGACGGUUUUGCUGUCACUUAUAGAUGGAUCCGCGCCGCAUUAGCUAGUUGGUAAGGUAACGGCUUACCAAGGCGACGAUGCGUAGCCGACCUGAGAGGGUGAUCGGCCACACGGGAACUGAGACACGGUCCAGACUCCUACGGGAGGCAGCAGUAGGGAAUCUUCCGCAAUGGGCGAAAGCCUGACGGAGCAACGCCGAGUGAGUGAUGAAGGUCUUCGGAUCGUAAAACUCUGUUAUUAGGGAAGAACAAAUGUGUAAGUAACUAUGCACGUCUUGACGGUACCUAAUCAGAAAGCCACGGCUAACUACGUG
Molecule: ribosomal RNA, 497 nt
Filed under: uncultured bacterium
Lineage: Bacteria
Description: partial 16S ribosomal RNA
Rfam family: Bacterial small subunit ribosomal RNA
Source: RNAcentral